Molecule: small nuclear RNA, 114 nt
Organism: Carcharodon carcharias (great white shark)
Lineage: Eukaryota; Metazoa; Chordata; Chondrichthyes; Lamniformes; Lamnidae
Product: U5 spliceosomal RNA
Exons: 1
Source: RefSeq, a predicted model, not a curated record
CCCGCCAAGGUCUCUUCAGAUCACCUAAAUCUUUUGCCUUUUACUAAAGAUUUCCAUGGAGAGGAACACUCGGAGAUUUAAUUAAUUUUUUGAUGCCCUACCUUUGUGAAAGGU